RNAcentral lists this long non-coding RNA (2075 nucleotides) under Homo sapiens (human). RNAcentral describes it as "non-protein coding lnc-GPC1-4:2". Lineage: Eukaryota; Metazoa; Chordata; Mammalia; Primates; Hominidae. The record is from RNAcentral.
AGUGCGCUGCCAGGGUCCUGCGGGUUGGGGCGAGGGCCGAGAGGUGGGAGUUGGAGGUGAACGUGGGGGCAGCAUGCUGGCUGCCCGGCCCCUGCCUGGGUUCUGAGUUGCUGCGGUGUCGCGGGAGCUGAGGCCGCCCAGGGCGUGGAGCGACUUCUGCGUCUCGUCCCAGGGUCCUGUGCUCCCCGCAGAAUCCCCCAGGCGCGGUGUGGACGUCAAAGCGACCUCCUAGAGAACAUUCCUAGCUCUCAGAACGUUCUCGCUGGGGAGGGAAAGUGGAAAAAGAGGGGGCGAGGAGCGGAGGGACGGGGUGGGACCCCUGUCGCGGGGCGCCUGUCAGGGAGAGGGACCUGGCAAGGCCGGCCUGGGUCGCCUCCGGAGCUGAAGGCUAAGUGGUCUCAUCCAGGGGACCUGCUGUGAACACAUUGAAUAGCAUAGAAAACAAAAGCACACGCUCCAAGUCCAUCUCUUUUUUUUUUUUUUUUUUUUUUUUUUUUUUUUUUUUUUUUUGAGGCAGAGUCCCGCUCUGUCGCCCAGGCUGGAGUGCGGUGGCGCCAUCGCGCUCACUGCAAGCUCCGCCUCCCUGGUUCACGCCAUUCUCCUGCCUCAGCCUCCCGAGUAGCUGGGACUACAGGCGCCCGCCGCCACACCCGGCUAAUUUUUUGUAUUUUUAGUAGAGACGGGGUUUCACCAUGUUAGCCAGGAUGGUCUCGAUCUCCUGACCUCGUGAUCCACCCGCCUCGGCCUCCCAAAGUGCUAGGAUUACAGGCGUGAGCCACCGCGCCGGCAAGUCCAUCUCUUAAAAUGUGCUCCCGUCAGGACCUGGGCUCUGGGCUCCACGAAGGAGCCUUGCAUGUGAGGUUUCCUUCCAAGUAUGCCUGCUGUUGGGAAGGGUUUUUAUAAUCUUUUGUGUUCCCCAGGCUUUUUGUUCUUAACCCCUUAAAUAUUCUUUAACUUUGUUUUCAACUUUUCAGAAAUGAUCAUGCGAUUGUAAAACAGUGGGAAUGCAGCUGUGUAAACUACGGCCGGUUCUAUGGAUGUUUCUAUAAUUGAAGAAUUGCUUUUUGUCAAAAAUACGGAUUCCCGGUCCCCAACGCAGGAGGGUCUGGUUUUUAGAUCCUGGAGGGCACCUGAAAUCCAUUUAACAAGCUUUAGGGUUCAUGUCUGCUGUUUUUUGCCUUGUUUCCUUUGCAUUUUUUUUUUUUUUUUUUUUUUGUGCCUUCCAAUGGAUACAGUACAUUUUUUUAGAAUUCCAUCUUGAUUUACUGAUAAUGUCUUGGGAAAUAUCAUUAUGUAUAGUUUUCGUAGUGGUUCCUCUAGGUAUCACAGCACGCAGACGUAACUUCUCACAACCUGUUUGCGUGGAUGUUUUGUUGUACCUGAGCGAGUUAGAAAAACACCACCUUUGAGACGAAUUAAGAGUCCUUUAUUAGCUGGCGACCGAGAGACGGCUAACGCUCAAAAUUCUCUCAGCCCCGAGGAAGGGGCUUGAUUAACUUUUAUACCUUGGUUUAGGAAGGGGGGGGGGUCUAGUUAAAACAAUUUUACAGAAGUAAAGUAGUCAAAAAGUUAAAAGGGUAAAUGGUUACAGGAAAGUAAACAGUUCAAGGUGCAGGGGCUUUAAGACUAUUACAAGAUGAUAGACCCGGGGCUUUGGGCGUUAUCAAUCGGACAAAUUCCUGGGAACUGCGGAUGUAGCUUGCCACAGUAUCUUACCAGUUAAUUGCAUUCUUGGAUGUGGUGGGAGUCAGCCUGCACAAGUUAAGUCCUUGAGAAAGGGGCUGCCAGUGAAAGAGCCAAGAUGGAGUCUGUCUGGCUCUCUUAGCUAAGGGAGAGUCAAUUCAGGUGGAAACAGGGCUAGGUGAUUAAAGGAAAAGGGAGAGUCUGAAAACAGUUAGUAAAAACCAGGUUGGGCAUUACAGUUUUACUGGUUCAAGGGAAGUAUUACUAUAUACUUCCCCGUCCCUCCGCUUCUCGCCCCCCUUUUUCCGUUUUCCCUCCCCAGCUAGAACGUUCUGAGAGCUAGGAAUGUUCUCUAGGAGGUCGCUUUGACGUCCACACUAUAUUAGACAGCA